RNAcentral lists this unclassified non-coding RNA (263 nucleotides) under plant metagenome. Its description in RNAcentral is "partial contains small subunit ribosomal RNA, internal transcribed spacer 1, and 5.8S ribosomal RNA". The record is from RNAcentral.
UUUCCGUAGGUGAACCUGCGGAAGGAUCAUUAUUGUAUACCCAAGGUACGAGGGCCGUCGCUGACUCGAAAGGUCGUGAACGCGCGAGUGCUCUCACACACAUCCCUCUCACCCCUAAGUGCAUGACCGCGUGGCUCCCCCCUUCGCGUUUUCGGAGGGGGGCUUACGUCUUCAACCAAACCUUGUAUGGCGUGUAGAAUGUAUUUUUUGUUUUUGCGAUCACGCAAUCAAUACAACUUUCAACAACGGAUCUCUUGGCUCUC